CUGGGGUUAGACUGUUGCGGGGGAGGGGGACUCACAUACUGCCUGAAAUAAUAGAGCAGUUGGCCACCUGUGGAGUCUGUGGUGAAGGGGUUCCCAGUUAAUGAUGGGAAGGCGGACAACCACCUCAUGAGAAGAAACAAACAUUUCAAAGAUAAAGGCCAGAAGCUUCUGUUGGGAAGAUAAAAGUACAGAACUUGCAUAUUAUGAAUCUUCAAGGAAUAUCUGUUAGAAUGAAUUGAAAUAAAAUGAAGAACAACACAUUAAAUGUAAUAAAAACAAUACAUUGAUUUGUUUUCUGUUAUAGUGUCUCUUUAAAGAUCACUGAAUUGUCUAGGUAUAGAUCAUGUGGCAUUACUUAUUAAGAUGUAAAAGGGAUGAGGACAUUUUCUUAAUUUUCAUAAGGAAAAACAUAAAGAUCAUGCAUAUCAGGAAUCCUGAUAUUUGGGCAAUGCUUUUUUAUUGUUGAUGUUUUUGUUAUCUGGAUAAAAGGCCAUGAGUGAUAAUGGUGACACAUGUUCUCAUUUGUAAUUUCGUUUUUAAUUUUAAAAUGAAUGUCAAUAUAGUUUUAAUAAUUGUUUUCUGACAUUGUUGAACCAUAUUUUCUCCCUUCCUCCCAACGCCAAUCUGAAGGUAAUAUGAUGUAGGUUGUAUAUAUGUUAUUAUAUAUUAAUAUAUAUAAUUAAUUAAUAUAAAUGGAAAUAUGUAUUUCCAUUUCAUCAUUCUAUGAAAGAUAUGUAUCUAC
Long non-coding RNA from Monodelphis domestica (gray short-tailed opossum), 742 nucleotides. RefSeq lists it as uncharacterized. The record is from RefSeq and is a predicted model, not a curated record. Lineage: Eukaryota; Metazoa; Chordata; Mammalia; Didelphimorphia; Didelphidae.